Molecule: small nucleolar RNA, 146 nt
Filed under: Zea mays
Lineage: Eukaryota; Viridiplantae; Streptophyta; Magnoliopsida; Poales; Poaceae
Description: Zm_65
Source: RNAcentral
UAGCGUUGAAAACUGAUUACCAAUGGAUUGACUGAGAUGGCCAUUGUGUAUGAGUCAACGCAAUAACUAUUCUUUCCAUGCCAUGCUUACAUACAUUACCUGUGCAUGACAUCACAGGUAAUUAGCAUAAAAUGGGGACACCUCUU